UACGUAGGGUGCAAGCGUUAAUCGGAAUUACUGGGCGUAAAGCGUGCGCAGGCGGUUAUGCAAGACAGAUGUGAAAUCCCCGGGCUCAACCUGGGAACUGCAUUUGUGACUGCAUGGCUAGAGUGCGGCAGAGGGGGAUGGAAUUCCGCGUGUAGCAGUGAAAUGCGUAGAUAUGCGGAGGAACACCGAUGGCGAAGGCAAUCCCCUGGGCCUGCACUGACGCUCAUGCACGAAAGCGUGGGGAGCAAACAGG
RNAcentral lists this ribosomal RNA (253 nucleotides) under uncultured bacterium. RNAcentral's name for it is "partial 16S ribosomal RNA". It matches the Rfam family "Bacterial small subunit ribosomal RNA", at positions 524 to 776 of the family's 1533-position model. The record is from RNAcentral.